Molecule: ribosomal RNA, 242 nt
Filed under: uncultured bacterium
Lineage: Bacteria
Description: partial 16S ribosomal RNA
Rfam family: Bacterial small subunit ribosomal RNA
Source: RNAcentral
GCUACCACGCGAGUGGAUGCCAAUCCCUAAAACCCCUCUCAGUUCGGACUGGAGUCUGCAACCCGACUCCACGAAGCUGGAUUCGCUAGUAAUCGCGCAUCAGCCACGGCGCGGUGAAUACGUUCCCGGGCCUUGUACACACCGCCCGUCAAGCCAUGGGAGCCGGGGUACCUGAAGUGCGUAACCGCGAGGAUCGCCCUAGGGUAAAACUGGUGACUGGGGCUAAGUCGUAACAAGGUAAC